This 94-nucleotide microRNA precursor is filed under the name Murid gammaherpesvirus 4 (Murine herpesvirus 68). Its description in RNAcentral is "microRNA mghv-mir-M1 precursor (mghv-mir-M1-4)". Its record names the gene mghv-mir-M1-4. Lineage: Duplodnaviria; Heunggongvirae; Peploviricota; Herviviricetes; Herpesvirales; Orthoherpesviridae. The record is from miRBase by way of RNAcentral.
CGAGCCCUGACCAUCGAGGAGCACGUGUUAUUCUAGACCUCUCUUCCAGCUAAGAUAGCAUGUGCCGUCCUCUUUGUUUCCCAAGUCAGUAUUC